AAUCAACGCUGGCGGCGUGCCUAACACAUGCAAGUCGAGCGGUAAGGCCCUUUCGGGGGUACACGAGCGGCGAACGGGUGAGUAACACGUGGGUGACCUGCCCUCAGCUCUGGGAUAAGCCUGGGAAACCGGGUCUAAUACUGGAUAUGACUCCAUGACGCAUGUUGUGGGGUGGAAAGCCUUGUGCGGCUGAGGAUGGGCCCGCGGCCUAUCAGCUUGUUGGUGGGGUGAUGGCCUACCAAGGCGACGACGGGUAGCCGGCCUGAGAGGGCGACCGGCCACACUGGGACUGAGACACGGCCCAGACUCCUACGGGAGGCAGCAGUGGGGAAUAUUGGACAAUGGGCGCAAGCCUGAUCCAGCCAUGCCGCGUGGGUGAUGAAGGCCCUAGGGUUGUAAAGCCC
RNAcentral lists this ribosomal RNA (404 nucleotides) under uncultured bacterium. Its description in RNAcentral is "bacterial SSU rRNA". It matches the Rfam family "Bacterial small subunit ribosomal RNA", at positions 28 to 433 of the family's 1533-position model. The record is from RNAcentral.